RNAcentral lists this ribosomal RNA (454 nucleotides) under uncultured bacterium. RNAcentral describes it as "bacterial SSU rRNA". It matches the Rfam family "Bacterial small subunit ribosomal RNA", at positions 340 to 785 of the family's 1533-position model. The record is from RNAcentral.
UACGGAAGGCAGCAGUGGGGAAUAUUGCACAAUGGGCGCAAGCCUGAUGCAGCCAUGCCGCGUGUAUGAAGAAGGCCUUCGGGUUGUAAAGUACUUUCAGUCGUGAGGAAGGUGUUAAGGUUAAUAACCUUAGCAAUUGACGUUAGCGACAGAAGAAGCACCGGCUAACUCCGUGCCAGCAGCCGCGGUAAUACGGAGGGUGCGAGCGUUAAUCGGAAUUACUGGGCAUAAAGGGCACGCAGGCGGUUAAUUAAGUUGGAUGUGAAAUCCCCGGGCUUAACCUGGGAAUGGCAUUCAAGACUGGUUAGCUAGAGUCUUGUAGAGGGGGUAGAAUUCCAUGUGUAGCGGUGAAAUGCGUAGAGAUGUGGAGGAAUACCGGUGGCGAAGGCGGCCCCUGGGACAAGACUGACGCUCAUGUGCGAAAGCGUGGGGAGCAAACGAGGGAUUAGGAUAC